RNAcentral lists this ribosomal RNA (253 nucleotides) under uncultured bacterium. Its description in RNAcentral is "partial 16S ribosomal RNA". It matches the Rfam family "Bacterial small subunit ribosomal RNA", at positions 524 to 776 of the family's 1533-position model. The record is from RNAcentral.
UACGUAGGGUGCGAGCGUUAAUCGGAAUUACUGGGCGUAAAGCGUGCGCAGGCGGUUCGUCGUGUCCGAUGUGAAAGCCCCGGGCUUAACCUGGGAAUGGCAGUGGAAACUGGGGGACUUGAAUUGAGCAGAGGGGGGUGGAAUGCCGCGUGUAGCAGUGAAAUGCGUAGAGAUGCGGCGGAACACCGAUGGCGAAGGCAGCCCCCUGGGCUUAAAUUGACGCUGAGGCACGAAAGCGUGGGGAGCAAACAGG